GACGAACGCUGGCGGCGUGCUUAACACAUGCAAGUCGAACGGUGAAGCGCCUUCCUUUUUGGUGGGUGUGGAUGAGUGGCGAACGGGUGAGUAACACGUGAGUAACCUGCCCCCUUCUUCUGGAUAACCGCAUGAAAGUGUGGCUAAUACGGGAUAUUCUGGGCCUGUCGCAUGAUGGGUCUGGGACAGAUAUUGUUUCGGUUGGGGAUGGGCUCGCGGCCUAUUAGCUUGUUGGUGGGGUGAUGGCCUACCAAGGCGGUGAGUGGUAGCCGGCCGUGGAGGAUGGACCGUCCCGCAGGGGCUAAGACACCGCGCAGACUCCUAGGGGAGGCAGCAGGGGAGAUUAUGGCACAGUGGGCAGAAGGCUGGUGCAGCGACGCCGGGGGAGGGAUGGAGGCCUGCGGGUUGUGAACCUCUUUCGCGAGUGAAGCAGGGCUGCCUCGUGUGUGGGUGGGUUGACGGUAGCUGGACAAGAAGCGUCGGCUAACUACGUG
RNAcentral lists this ribosomal RNA (494 nucleotides) under uncultured bacterium. RNAcentral's name for it is "partial 16S ribosomal RNA". It matches the Rfam family "Bacterial small subunit ribosomal RNA", at positions 28 to 507 of the family's 1533-position model. The record is from RNAcentral.